MicroRNA precursor from Xenopus tropicalis (tropical clawed frog), 90 nucleotides. Ensembl annotates it as xtr-mir-30e. Its record names the gene xtr-mir-30e. NCBI's taxonomy places the organism in Eukaryota, Metazoa, Chordata, Amphibia, Anura, Pipidae. The record is from Ensembl.
GGGCAGUUACAGCCUCUGUAAACAUCCUUGACUGGAAGCUGUGAAAUAAUGAUAGUAGCUUUCAGUCGGAUGUUUACAGCUGCUAGCUGC